Long non-coding RNA from Adelges cooleyi (spruce gall adelgid), 336 nucleotides. RefSeq lists it as uncharacterized. The transcript has 5 exons. The record is from RefSeq and is a predicted model, not a curated record. NCBI's taxonomy places the organism in Eukaryota, Metazoa, Arthropoda, Insecta, Hemiptera, Adelgidae.
CACAUAAUAUGUUAUAGGGAAUUGUUUUUUAUUAAGUUUCGGUUCUUUAGUAGUUUAGGAGUUGUAUAAUUUACGUAAAUAUACAAGGUAUCAAACGAUACCACCGUGCAAAAAAGUAUAUAAUUAUGAAUAAUUUACAAGAUGAAGAAAUUGAAUGUUUCUUGGAUUUUGAUAUACCCUCCUGCUCAGAAACUUGCAUAGAAGUAUCAUUUGAUGCCGGGGGUUGUUACCCUCGGUAACAAAGUAGGUAAAUUUUGGUUACAUCAGCAUUUAAGACAAAAACAAUGCAUUUUACUGUAACGACUUCUUAAAUAAUUUUUAACACUCAAUGGUCCA